This 3326-nucleotide ribosomal RNA is filed under the name Candidatus Kaiserbacteria bacterium CG10_big_fil_rev_8_21_14_0_10_45_20. RNAcentral's name for it is "23S ribosomal RNA". It matches the Rfam family "Bacterial large subunit ribosomal RNA". Lineage: Bacteria; Candidatus Kaiseribacteriota. The record is from RNAcentral.
GUCUGAAGGGUGUAUGGUGGAUGCCUUGACUCUGAAACGGCGAUGAAGGACGUGGCAAUCUGCGAAAAGCUCCGGGGAGGUGAUGAGCAACCUUUGAUCCGGAGGUGUCCGAAUGGGGAAACCCUCUCUCUUUUUAGAGAGAAUCUUGAACGGGUGUUCAAGAAGCAAACCUAGGGAAGUGAAACAUCUCAGUACCUAGAGGAAAAGAAACCAAUAUAUGAACCUUUUGCUUUGCUGAGUCAUCUGAUCAGCAAGGUAAAAGGUUCUGGAAUUCUCCUAGUAGCGGCGAGCGAAAAGGGAAAAGCCCAAACCGAUUGUCUUCGGACAGUCGGGGUUGUAAGGCAAAAGUGUUCCACUUGUGGAAGGAAAGUUACAAAUUAUACGUAUAGCAGAAGACGCUGGGAAGCGUGGCCCUAGAGGGUAAUAGCCCCGUAUGCGACAUUCGUAUAACUUUCUUACUUUUGUUCUUGAGUAGUCCGAGACAUGAAUAGCUCGGAUGAAUCCGCCGGGACUAACCGGCAAGGCUAAAUACGUUCAGAGAUCGAUAGUGAACCAGUACCGUGAGGGAAAGGUGAAAAGUAGUCCGAUAAGGACAGUGAAAUAGUUCUGAAACCAUACAUCUACAAAGAGUCGAAGAGGUCCUAGACCUCGACGGCGUGCCUAUUGAAGAAUGAGCCUGCGAGUUUAUGCAUGUGGCAUGGCUAAGUCCGAGAGGACGGAGCCGAAGGGAAACCGAGUGUGAAUAGCGCGCCCGCUUCGGCGGAGUCGCACGCAUAAGACCCGAAGCCAGGUGAGCUUGCCUUGGGCAGGGUGAAUCUCGCAGAAAUGCGAGAGGAGGCCCGAACCGGUAGGUCGUACAACGCCUUCGGAUGACCUGAGGUAAGGAGUGAAAAGCUAAUCGAACCUGGUAAUAGCUGGUUCUCUCCGAAACAGCUUUUGGGCUGGCGUCUGAUGUAUCUCUUGGGGGUAGAGCACUGGAAGGGAUGAACAGGGAGAAAUCUCGUCAUUCCUAUCAAACUCCGAAUACCAAUGAGCAAUUAUCAGGCAGUUAGACUAUGGGGGCUAAGCUCCAUCAGUCGAGAAGGGAAGAGCCUAGAUCUCAAGUUAAGGUCCCUAAAUCUACGUUAAGUGCAUCUUAAGGAAGUGAGAACUCUAAGACAGUGAGGAUGUUGGCUUAGAAGCAGCCAUCAUUUAAAGAAAGCGUAACAGCUCACUCAUCGAGAGUUCUUGCGCCGAAGAUAAUCGGGGCUAAACGUAGUACCGAAACUGAGGAUGCAUUCAUAUUUAUAUGAGUGCGUGGUAGGAGAGCGUUCUUUGCCGCUAUGAAGGAAAAGGGGUGACCCAUUCUGGAGCGCAAGGAAGUGAGAAUGCAGGCACAAGUAACCACAAUGCGGGUGAGAACCCCGCACAUCGAAAGACCGAGGUUUCCUUAGCAAUGAUAAUCAACUAAGGGUUAGUCGGGCCUAAGGGGAUGGCGAAAGCCGCAACCGAUGGACACAUGGUUAAUAUUCCAUGACUUCGACAUAGUGCGAUGGAGAGACGAAGGGCUGUACACGCUGCACACAAUUGGAUGUGUGUUAGUGCCGUGAGGGGGUAUCCUAGGAAAAUCCGGGAUACGCUACUCCGAGCGGAGCAACAAUUUUCUGCUACGGUAGAAGAGAGAGUGUGGAGCGCGCUUCCGAGAAAAUCUUCUAAGCUUCAGCUAUGUGGAACCCGUACCGCAAACCGACACAGGUGGUCUGGUCGAGAAGACUAAGAUGAACGAGUGAGAGGUCCUCAAGGAACUCGGCAAAAAAGCGGCCGUAACUUCGGGAUAAGGCCUGCCUCUCUAGCAAUAGAGAGGCCGCAGCGAAAGAUUCCCUGGCAACUGUUUACCAAAAACACAGCUCCCUGCGAACUCGUAAGAGGNNNNNNNNNNNNNNNNNNNNNNNNNNNNNNNNNNNNNNNNNNNNNNNNNNNAGCCCUGGUCAAUGUCGGCGAUAACUAUAAUCGUCCUAAGGUAGCGUAAUUCCUUGUCUGGUAAGUUCAGACGUGCACGAAUGGCGUAAUGACUGGGGAACUGUCUCGAGGACUUGCUCGGUGAAAAUACAAUACCGGUGAAGAUGCCGGUUACCUAUGGUUAGACGAAAAGACCCCAGGAGCUUUACUGCAGUUUCACAUUGGGGCUGCGGUGUUCAUGCGUAGCAUAGGUGGGAGACUUUGAAGCAUCGGUUUUGGCUGAUGUGGAGUCGCCAGUGCAAUACCACCCUUGGACAGUGCAGUUCCUAACCUAGAGACAACACUCUGGAGACAGUGUGUGACAGGCAGUUUUAGUGGGGCGCUAUCCUCCUAAAGAGUAGCGGAGGAGCCUACAAAGGUCAGCUAGGCGCGAAUGGAAACCGUGCCGGUCGUGUAAUGGCACAAGCUGGCUUAACUGUGAGACGUAAGUGUCGAGCAGACACGAAAGUGGAGCAUAAUGAANNNNNNNNNNNNNNNNNNNNNNNNNAAAAGUUACCCUGGGGAUAACAGGCUGGUACCGCCCAAGCGUCCAUAGCGACGGCGGUGUUCGGCACCUCGAUGUCGGCUCACCACAUCCUGGAGCUGGAGAAGGUUCCAAGGGUUUGGCUGUUCGCCAAUUAAAGUGGUACGCGAGCUGGGUUCAGACCGUUUAGAAGAUAGGCGCUAGGAAAUUAGGCGCUAGGCGCUAGCAAAAAAGCUAGUUCCUAGAGCCUAAAGCCUAACCUGCUGUCUUUUAGACCGUCUGAAUCCCGCACAUAACAGACAUACAAAAUCGGGCUUUUCGUUUAAUGCAAUAUAAGAUAGAAACUAACCAUCACGGCGGUGGCGUAUAGUAAUAUGCGUCAUUGAUGUGUGCUAAUUUCGGUAAAAUCCCACCCAUAUUUUGUAUGGAGGACAAUACCGAGGGAAGUGAAUGAAAUUACGAAUAAAAAGUAGCAAUACUCUUUACCUCAUUCGCGCCCGUAGAGACUGAACGCACACUAUCCUACUCUGUUAGGAUAAAGCUACAGUCCGAUCCUUCGAGUAAUCGGAGUUAACGAAAUGCGUGAGACAGGUUGGUCUCCUAUCUACCAUAGGCGUGGAUUUUUGAGGGGAGUUGUUCUUAGUACGAGAGGACCAGAAUGAACUGACCUCUGGUCUGUCUGUUGUCACGCCAGUGGCACUGCAGAGUAGCUAUGUCAGGAAUGGAUAACCGCUGAAGGCAUCUAAGCGGGAAGCCAACCCCAAGAUUAGAAAUCGUUUGAGGCCCCUAGGAGAUGACUAGGUUGAUAGGCUCUAUGUGUACGUACAGUGAUGUACUUAGCAGAGGAGUACUAAUUCGCCGAUCU